UAGGGAAUCUUCCGCAAUGGACGAAAGUCUGACGGAGCAACGCCGCGUGAGCGAAGAAGGUCUUCGGAUCGUAAAGCUCUGUUGUCAGGGAAGAACAAGUACCGUUCGAACAGGGCGGUACCUUGACGGUACCUGACGAGGAAGCCACGGCUAACUACGUGCCAGCAGCCGCGGUAAUACGUAGGUGGCAAGCGUUGUCCGGAAUUAUUGGGCGUAAAGCGCGCGCAGGCGGUUCCUUACGUCUGGUGUGAAAUCUCGCGGCUCAACCGCGUGCGGCCAUUGGAAACUGGGGAACUUGAGUGCGGGAGGGGGGGGAGGAAUUCCACGUGUAGCGGUGAAAUGCGUAGAGAUGUGGAGGAACACCAGUGGCGAAGGCGGCUCUCUGGCCUGUAACUGACGCUGGGGCGCGAAAGCGUGGGGAGCGAACAGG
Molecule: ribosomal RNA, 430 nt
Filed under: Bacillota bacterium
Lineage: Bacteria; Bacillati; Bacillota
Description: Firmicutes bacterium partial 16S ribosomal RNA
Rfam family: Bacterial small subunit ribosomal RNA
Source: RNAcentral